GAUGAACGCUGGCGGCGUGCCUAAUACAUGCAAGUCGAGCGAACGGACGAGAAGCUUGCUUUUCUGAUGUUAGCGGCGGACGGGUGAGUAACACGUGGAUAACCUACCUAUAAGACUGGGAUAACUUCGGGAAACCGGAGCUAAUACCGGAUAAUAUUUUGAACCGCAUGGUUCAAAAGUGAAAGACGGUCUUGCUGUCACUUAUAGAUGGAUCCGCGCUGCAUUAGCUAGUUGGUAAGGUAACGGCUUACCAAGGCAACGAUGCAUAGCCGACCUGAGAGGGUGAUCGGCCACACUGGAACUGAGACACGGUCCAGACUCCUACGGGAGGCAGCAGUAGGGAAUCUUCCGCAAUGGGCGAAAGCCUGACGGAGCAACGCCGCGUGAGUGAUGAAGGUCUUCGGAUCGUAAAACUCUGUUAUUAGGGAAGAACAUAUGUGUAAGUAACUGUGCACAUCCUGACGGUACCUAAUCAGAAAGCCACGGCUAACUACGUG
RNAcentral lists this ribosomal RNA (497 nucleotides) under uncultured bacterium. Its description in RNAcentral is "partial 16S ribosomal RNA". It matches the Rfam family "Bacterial small subunit ribosomal RNA", at positions 28 to 507 of the family's 1533-position model. The record is from RNAcentral.